UACGUAGGUGGCGAGCGUUGUCCGGAAUCAUUGGGCGUAAAGCGCGCGUAGGCGGCUUGUCAGGUCUGAUGUGAAAUCUCGGGGCUCAACCCCAAGCGUGCAUCGGAAACCGGCUUGCUAGAGUCUGGGAGAGGGUAGUGGAAUUCCGCAUGUAGCGGUGAAAUCCGUAGAUAUCAGGAGGAACACCGGUGGCGAAGGCGGCUGCCUGGACCGAUAUUGACGCUGAGACGCGAAAGCGUGGGUAGCAAAC
This 250-nucleotide ribosomal RNA is filed under the name uncultured bacterium. Its description in RNAcentral is "partial 16S ribosomal RNA". It matches the Rfam family "Bacterial small subunit ribosomal RNA", at positions 524 to 773 of the family's 1533-position model. The record is from RNAcentral.